AUGCAGUCGUACGAGAAAGAGAUUGCUUGCAAUCUUGAGUAAAGUGGCGAACGGGUGAGUAACGCGUGGGUAAUCUGCCCUUGAAUCCGGAAUAACCUUUCGAAAGAGGGACUAAUACCGGACAAUAUCUGUAUUUUUUCGGAAAUGUAGAUUAAAGGCGGCCUCUGAUUCAAGCUGCUGUUUAAGGAUGAGCCCGCGUACCAUUAGCUUGUUGGUGAGGUAAAAGCUCACCAAGGCUGCGAUGGUUAGCUGGUCUGAGAGGAUGAUCCGCCACACUGGAACUGAGACACGGUCCAGACUCCUACGGGGGGCAGCAGUGAGGAAUUUUGCGCAAUGGGGGAAACCCUGACGCAGUGACGCCGCGUGAGUGAAGAAGGUCUUUUUGGUCGUAAAGCUCUGUCAAGCGGGAAGAAAGUUUCUGAUGUAAAUAGCAUCAGUUAUUGACGGUACCGCUGAAGGAAGCACCGGCUAACUCCGUGCCAGCAGCCGCGGUAAUACGGAGGGUGCAAGCGUUAUUCGGAAUUAUUGGGCGUAAAGGGCGCGCAGGCGGAUUUGUAAGUCAGAUGUGAAAGCCCGGGGCUCAACCCUGGAAGUGCAUUCGAAACUACAAAUCUUGAGUAUGGUAGAGGGAGACGGAAUUCCUGGUGUAGAGGUGAAAUUCGUAGAUAUCAGGAGGAACACCCGUGGCGAAGGCGGUUUCCUGGGCCAAUACUGACGCUGAGGCGCGAAGGCAUGGGUAGCGAACAGGAUUAGAUACCCUGGUAGUCCAUGCAGUAAACGGUGAUCACUAGGUGUAGUGAGCGUUAGCUUACUGUGCCGCAGCAAACGCAUUAAGUGAUCCGCCUGGGGGAGUACGGACGCAAGUUUAAAACUCAAAGGAAUUGACGGGGGCCCGCACAAGCGGUGGAGCAUGUGGUUCAAUUCGACGCAACGCGAAGAACCUUACCUGGAUUUGACAUCUGUGGAAUUUCCAUGAAAUUGGAAAGUGCCCUUUCGGGGA
Molecule: ribosomal RNA, 1000 nt
Filed under: uncultured Desulfobacteraceae bacterium
Lineage: Bacteria; Pseudomonadati; Thermodesulfobacteriota; Desulfobacteria; Desulfobacterales; Desulfobacteraceae
Description: bacterial SSU rRNA
Rfam family: Bacterial small subunit ribosomal RNA
Source: RNAcentral